AUAGCGUAUAUUAAAGUUGUUGCAGUUAAAAAGCUCGUAGUUGAACCUUGGGCCUGGUUGGUCGGUCCGCCUAACCGCGAGCACUGAUUCGACCGGGUCUUUCCUUCUGGCUAGCCACAUGCGCUUCACUGCGUGUGUUGGGGAUCCAGGACUUUUACUUUGAAAAAAUUAGAGUGUUCAAAGCAGGCCUAUGCUCGAAUACAUUAGCAUGGAAUAAUAGAAUAGGACGGAGGUUCUAUUUUGUUGGUUUCUAGAGCCACCGUAAUGAUUAAUAGGGAUAGUCGGGGGCAUCAGUAUUCAAUUGUCAGAGGUGAAAUUCUUGGAUUUAUUGAAGACUAACUACUG
Molecule: ribosomal RNA, 345 nt
Filed under: uncultured eukaryote
Lineage: Eukaryota
Description: SSU rRNA
Rfam family: Eukaryotic small subunit ribosomal RNA
Source: RNAcentral